This is a long non-coding RNA of Oncorhynchus tshawytscha (Chinook salmon), 286 nucleotides long. Lineage: Eukaryota; Metazoa; Chordata; Actinopteri; Salmoniformes; Salmonidae. The record is from Ensembl.
UUGAUAUGAUGGUGAGGUGUGACCUGAUUCAUGUGGGUGGUGAGGUGUGCCCUUAUUAAUAUGGGUGGUUUGGUGUGAGUGGACCAUUGCGGAUGGUGAGGUGUGACCUGGUCAAAAUGGGGGGUGAGAUGUGACCUGAUCAAUAUGGGUGGUGAGGUGUGUCCUGAUUGAUGUGAUGGUGAGGUGUGACCUGAUUAAUAUGGGUGGUGAGGUGUGACCUGAUCAAUAUGGGGGGUGAGGUGCGACCUGAUUAAUAUGUGUGGCGAGGUGUAACCUGAUUAAUAUG